ACAAAGGCUCUUUUCAGAGCCACCCACUGUUUUCAGUGAGAGAGCU
Molecule: non-coding RNA, 46 nt
Organism: Equus caballus (horse)
Lineage: Eukaryota; Metazoa; Chordata; Mammalia; Perissodactyla; Equidae
Source: Rfam